Molecule: small RNA, 441 nt
Filed under: Oryza sativa Japonica Group (Japanese rice)
Lineage: Eukaryota; Viridiplantae; Streptophyta; Magnoliopsida; Poales; Poaceae
Description: sRNA Os01g0374100
Source: RNAcentral
UGCCUUCAUCAUCUCUAUGACCUUCUUGACAGACGGCCUGGCCAACAUGCCAUCGAUCCAAGCCUUCACAAGAGGGAACUCAUCGAGCAUAGCAGCAUGAGGGGUGGCCAGCAGGUAGUACGCAGUUGGGAAAUGGCUCAGAUCCGCAAGGCUCAGGAAGUCUCCAGCUAAGUACCUGAACUUGCACAGACGCUCUUCAUACACCUGAAAUGUCUUCUUGAGCUUCUCCAGAUUCUCUUCCACAACCUUCGCAUCGGUUUGUCCACCGAAAUACACAGGGAGGAUGAGGCAUUGGUAGAUGACCACGGACAUGGGCUCAUCGAAAUGGUGUGACUCAGCUUCCAGCCACACAUCAACCUUGGCAGCGUCAGAAAGGUUGUGCUCCUUCAGGAGUUCAGAGUUGUUCUUACGAAGCACGUACUUCGAAAUUGCACGUGACUC